UAUCUCUGUAGAGUCUGCAUAUCAAUAAGCGGAGGAAAAGAAACUAACAUAGGAUUCCCUCAGUAACGGCGAGUGAAGCGGGAAGAGCUCAAAUUUGAAAUCUUCAAGGUUUUACCUUGACGAAUUGUAGUUUAAAGAAGUGUUUUCUGUUGGAGUUUUGGUAAAAGUUCUUUGGAAUAGGACAUCAUAGAGGGUGAGAAUCCCGUAUUUGACCAUUGAUUUCCAGCGUUGUGAUACACUUUCAAAGAGUCGGAUUGUUUGGGAAUGCAGUCCAAAAUGGGUGGUAAAUUUCAUCUAAAGCUAAAUACUGGCGAGAGACCGAUAGCGAACAAGUACCGUGAGGGAAAGAUGAAAAGAACUUUGAAAAGAGAGUUAAACAGUACGUGAAAUUGUCAAAAGGGAAGCGUUUGACACCAGUGUUGUUUCUCUCGAAAAUCAAUUAAAAAUAAAUUUGAUUUUGUGUUGUAUUGACCUUAAUCAGCUUUCUUCACUUUUUUCAUUGUCUUUUUUAAUGCACUUUUCGUUUAACAAGUCAACAUCAAUUUCUUUUGUUGUAAAAGAGUCAUUGGAAGGUGGCUUUCUUUUCGGAGAAAGUGUUUAUAGCCUUUGACUUCUGCAAUCGGAGAGAUUGAGGUCUGCAGCGUAGAUCCUUCGGGGUUAGAUAGCAUUUGUGCUAAGUUAUAGCCUUUCAUAGACAACUUGUUGACUAUGAUCAGUCAUGUAGCUUACUCGCUUAUGCUAUUUUACCUACGCUUAGGAUGUUGAUCUCUCACAGUCGAGC
Molecule: ribosomal RNA, 781 nt
Filed under: uncultured Neocallimastigales
Lineage: Eukaryota; Fungi; Neocallimastigomycota; Neocallimastigomycetes; Neocallimastigales
Description: partial large subunit ribosomal RNA
Rfam family: Eukaryotic large subunit ribosomal RNA
Source: RNAcentral